RNAcentral lists this long non-coding RNA (434 nucleotides) under Homo sapiens (human). Its description in RNAcentral is "non-protein coding lnc-HPS3-3:2". Lineage: Eukaryota; Metazoa; Chordata; Mammalia; Primates; Hominidae. The record is from RNAcentral.
CCAGAAGGAAGAAUCUGUGAACACAUCCGAACAUCAGAAGGAACAAACUCUAGACAUGCCGCCUUUAAGAACUGCAACACUCACUGCGAGUGUCCGCGGCUUCAUUCUUGAAGUCAGUGAGACGAAGAACCCACCAAUUCCAGACACAUUUUGGCGACCUAGAUGGGACAAUCGCCUAUCACCGAGUGGUGAGACCAUCGCCUAUAGCUGAGCGGCGAGACAAUCACCUAUCGCCAAGCAACAAGCAGAUGAAUGGUGAAACGAUACAGCAGAGAAAGAGAGAAGAGGAACAUUUGAACGCCGAGAGGAGUUCAGCCGAGGGUGGUCGGAGAGGUUUGGCCACCCAGCAGGAAGAUUAUCUUCCCGUGCCAUCCCCGCUUCCAGCUCUGCAUCCAUCCUUCAGAGAACCACCUCCACCACUCAAUAAAACCCUG